UACGGGGGGGGCAAGCGUUGUUCGGAAUUACUGGGCGUAAAGGGUUCGUAGGUGGCCCGCUAAGUCAGACGUGAAAUCCCUCAGCUCAACUGGGGAACUGCGUCUGAGACUGGCAGGCUCGAGUGCAGGAGAGGAACGCGGAAUUCCAGGUGUAGCGGUGAAAUGCGUAGAUAUCUGGAGGAACACCGGUGGCGAAGGCGGCGUUCUGGACUGUUACUGACACUGAGGAACGAAAGCCAGGGGAGCAAACGGG
Molecule: ribosomal RNA, 253 nt
Filed under: uncultured bacterium
Lineage: Bacteria
Description: partial 16S ribosomal RNA
Rfam family: Bacterial small subunit ribosomal RNA
Source: RNAcentral